This is an unclassified non-coding RNA of Sorex araneus (European shrew), 295 nucleotides long. It matches the Rfam family "Nuclear RNase P". Rfam says of the family: Ribonuclease P (RNase P) is a ubiquitous endoribonuclease, found in archaea, bacteria and eukarya as well as chloroplasts and mitochondria. Its best characterised activity is the generation of mature 5'-ends of tRNAs by cleaving the 5'-leader elements of precursor-tRNAs. Cellular RNase Ps are ribonucleoproteins. NCBI's taxonomy places the organism in Eukaryota, Metazoa, Chordata, Mammalia, Eulipotyphla, Soricidae. The record is from Ensembl.
GCAGAGGGAAGCUCAUCAGUGGGCCAUGAGCAGAGUUUGUCUCGUCACUCUAUCACUCGUUCCUUGGAAAGGUCUGAGACUAGGGCCAUCAGGGGACCAAACGGGGCCCUCCCUGAGCUCAGGUACCUGAGUUCCCAGAGAAUACAUCUCUGGCAAGGGAAGAAUCUAUGUGGUUCCAGGUUCUAUAUAUUUUACAGAGUAAGCCCUAUAAAAUUAAACUUGACCUUGAAUCGACCAUUUGAUAAAUAGGACAAUAAAUAUUUUAAUGCCACUUGAUCCAAUUUUAUCCAUUUGC